Non-coding RNA from Benincasa hispida (wax gourd), 1887 nucleotides. The record is from RefSeq and is a predicted model, not a curated record. Lineage: Eukaryota; Viridiplantae; Streptophyta; Magnoliopsida; Cucurbitales; Cucurbitaceae.
UUCAUCUCUAUAUUCACUUACCUGCUUCUUUGUCUACACUUCAUCUUCUAUCCUGCUUGAAAAAUGGCGGUGCGUCUCAGCCUCACUCUACGCCACCCGCUUCUCCCCUCAAGUUAUCCAAUUCCAGUCAGAGCUACUCAAUUCCGCAGAUUCGCUGUUCAGAAUUGCGUCUCCGACUCCGAUCACUCGCGCAAGCUUGUCUUGGAAGUGAAGGAGAAACUCGAAAGAGAACAUUCUAAUCUUCCUCUAGGUCGGAAUGGAAGGGACGAUGAAGAGAUGAUCCUCUGGUUUCUGAAGGACCGAAAGUUUUCUGUUGAAGAUGCGGUUGCAAAAUUAACGAAAGCUAUUAACUGGCGUCAGGAAUUUGGAGUAGAUGAACUGUCUGAAUAUUCAGUAAAAGGAAUGGCUGAAACUGGGAAGGCAUACAUCCACGAGUUUCUUGAUGUCAAUGACCGGCCAGUACUCAUAGUUGUGGCUUCCAAGCAUUUACCUGCAGUCCAUGAUCCUGUUGAGGACGAGAAAUUGUGUGUGUUCUAUGUAGAGAAGGCACUGAACAAGCUUCCACCUGGAAAAGAAGAAAUACUUGGAAUAAUUGAUCUGCGAGGUUUUCGUACUGAGAAUGCGGAUCUUAGGUUCUUGACAUUUUUGUUUGAUGUGUUCUACUUCUACUAUCCAAAACGGCUAGGUCAAGUCCUCUUUGUGGAAGCUCCAUCUGUGUUCAGACCAUUAUGGCAACUUACCAAGCCAUUACUAAAAUCAUAUGCCUCUCUGGUGAGGUUUUGUUCCGUAGAUACAAUCAGGAAGGAAUAUUUUACUGAAGCUACACUGCCUGCCAUCUUUGAAGACUGAGGAGCGUUAUCACUCUCGACCAACAGGUCCAAAUUAGGUUGUAUUAAGACAGGCGCGUACUGAAAAGAUUAUAAAAUUCCACCUGUUCAUAUUUUGGGAAAUAAAAAAGAAGUCUUUCAAGUACAUUUGAUAUUUACUAACACUUCGCUAAUUGUGGAGCUACAUUUCUCCAGAGAUGAAGGUCAGUUAUCGCUAAUAAGCCCAUGCAACUCGAAUUCUGCAUAUUCAGGUCUACUGCUGGCUGCUUCUACAAUAUGAUGUGGACGCUCUGCUGAAGAAAAUAUUUCAUACGAAUAAAAAGGGUAGAAUUCAAUUUUCCCUCUCAAAUUGUAUGUGCUGAUUCGAUACACAAUGAGGAAUCCAGAGAUUUUCAACUAUGGGUUCAAACGUGGAGUGUGGAGGUAAGUGAUUCCACCUAAAAGAAGUUUAAUCACAUGAAUAUUUAUUCUUGUUUCAUGUUAAAUUAUCACUAAGCGUAUUUUUUUAAUGUUUCUAAAAUUAUAAAAACAUAACAUUUUGCAUAAAUUCCUCAAAUUAUUGAGAUCUGUCCAUUUGCAAUUGUGCAAGGCAUCCAUCCUUGUUAGGGAAUACAAAAAUCUCACGUUGACUAGAUAAAAUAAGUUGGACAAAAAUCUUCAUUGGUAUGAUGCUUUUUUUUUGUGAAACUAAAAGUAAAAUCAAAAGCUCAAAGUGCAUUCUGAUUUUUGUUACCUUAAAUAUGGGCCCCAAUCAUAAAAAUGGCAAAAUCGGGAUGGAUAAUUUCCAAAAAUACAUAUAGUAUGUAGGAUAUUAGAGUUAGACUUAGCGUUCAUUGAUUGAUUGUACACAUUUAGAAAUAAUUUUGGGAGGUUCAAUUUUAGUGUACAAACAUUGUGAAGACAUGGGGAUCUGUUAUCUCUAACACUCAUUUUUAUGUUUUAUGAAGAUAUAUUUGUUUUUGUCCUAAAGGAAAUGUGUUUGAAUCUCCAUCUUCACACCAUUCAACUCUAAAAAAAAAUUAAAGAGACGGUGGGAAUCGCCACGAAUUCCCAUAUUUGA